AUGCAGUGCAUAGCCGCUCCUUUCAUUUUUAGACUGAGGAAAGAGCUGCAGAAAAAAGCUUUCGUAAACACUGUGCUUCUGAUCAUUCUAAUCCUUUAUUACCUGAAGGGGCGGUUGCAGGAAGCUGCUACAGGGAAGGAGGUUUACAAUUUCCUAAAGGUUUGGGAUUGUGCGAUGAAGCAGCGUAUUUUAGAUGCUACGGAGAAUGUUCAGAGCAACAUGGUCAAAAGCGUUAGCCACCAUCUCUGCAGUGGGCUUGGUGGAAGCAGAUGA
RNAcentral lists this long non-coding RNA (273 nucleotides) under Chrysolophus pictus (golden pheasant). Its description in RNAcentral is "lncRNA (ENSCPIG00010001187.1)". Lineage: Eukaryota; Metazoa; Chordata; Aves; Galliformes; Phasianidae. The record is from RNAcentral.